CGCUGGCAGUAGUGGCAGGACAAGUCACAGGGAACGGACAAAUCCACAGUCGGAUUUGCCCGCUUUGAAUAGGGGUUGUCGGGUCCAUUACGACAACUGCAUCUCGGAAUGGACCCGACUCUUAUUGAAUAUACCCCCAUGUCUAUUUUAACCUCAUUCCAAUAAACAAUGACUGAUGAUACCCUCCUUCCUACACAAGCAUCUCUAAUACCCCUUUCACACCAAAAAACCCGGGUUUGACCUGGGUUAUUGAACACGGCAGUUUGGACGCCUUUGCCGGCUCUCAGAGAUGUCAUCAUCUGAUGAUGAUGCAUUGCGCUGUAUACUUUUAGCGUGACCCAAGUAGGAUGACAGGUCAGAAUCCCGAGUAACACCCAGGUAGACCCUUCCACACCAAACCUGGACCCAGAAGGCCCCGGCAAUAACACAAGUUUGAAGUUUGUUGUGAAAAGGGGAGAAGUUAGCAUAGGUCAGCACAGACUGCAGUCAUUUAGGCUACUGUGACAUCAGAGAACAAAUGUUUACAGAGCAAGUCUGUCACGCACUCUGCCUACUCAGAGACUGCAUUCCUCCUAACAUCAUGACCUGCUGCAUAGGGGUGAGAGGGAGCGUGACAGACAUCUUGAGCCUGACAUUUGCUUCCAACAUGAUCACAGCAUGAUGGUACACAAGCUCGUACGUUGGUCCAGGGGCAGUCAGGUUCUCCAGGUUCCCAGUGCGUGUGUAGGUGAAAGUUGUCCCUGCAGCUUCGUACUCCCCAUUCCAUUGAAUAGUCCAUCUGCCAUUUAGGAAAUAUUUCUCUGGAUCUUCACUACGCAAGGCUAAGAAGUUUCCAGCCUCUGCAACCUCCUCAAUCCGGAUCUCACGGGCACCAGGCGGAAUCAGACCAAUGUCAACAUACCCUGGAAACAGAAGUAACCAAUGGAGGGACUGACAGAGCGGAUCUGCAGACGAUGAACAUCUAGCCAAGGAAGAUUAGCCUCGCAGCUGCAUUCAUAAAGGAUUGUAGUGGGGAGAGUCUCUUUUUGACAGCUUCAGGGCUUCAAGUCAAUAAUACUGCAUCUACUCCAUUGUGACACUCCACGUCCUACAUCUGCAAAGGUUCAAUUGAUGUCUCAAACAAUGUUCUGCUGUCUCUGAAAGAUUCAAUAAAUGUACUUGGUAGAGAGGAA
Pseudophryne corroboree (corroboree frog) is the source of this 1172-nucleotide long non-coding RNA. RefSeq lists it as uncharacterized. The transcript is spliced from 4 exons. The record is from RefSeq and is a predicted model, not a curated record. Lineage: Eukaryota; Metazoa; Chordata; Amphibia; Anura; Myobatrachidae.